GUAUUUCAGCUAUGCAUUCUCAAGAAGGAGGAGAUUAAUGAACCCACCCCCCUUACAAUGAACAACACAUGGGCACUCUGAGGAUGAUCCCUUUUCUUCCAUUAAGAGUUCCAAGAUGUGGGUCUGAUUGACGGGGGUGUGAAAUGUAACAGCCAAUGGUAUACUUAAGCUAGGACUGACAGUCCCAAUAUUCAAGAGGAAAAACCCCUACAUAAACAAAUACAUGGGCGCAGACAUUUUGGACACCCAAAGUUGUGCGGAGGAGAAAAUGCUAGCUGGCGCGUGAUUGGUCAAUAAGAGAAAAGACUUGUUAUGUAUCUGACUAGUGAAAUAAAGUUGAUAAAAAUCUCAUAUCAAGACUUGGGAUUCUUUGAGAUAUAUAGGAGUUACAGGUAAAAAUUUGAAGGGAAGGGUGCCCUUUGGUUAGAGAUUUUCAUUUGGUGUCAAACGCACCUUGUUGUAAACAAAUGGAAAUUGAAAGUAAAAGUGCCGCGUGACGGUAUAUUUUUUCUGGCAUGUUUUGUUUUCCAAUAUCUCGAACUUUCACGGCAAAAAGGUCAUUUGCCCAAAAUUCAAUAUAUGUAUGAGUGACAGGGGCUCAAGUUUGUAUGGAAGUCUAUGGGAAAACAUUUGGUGGUGUUUGUCCUAUAGAAUAGCGAUGCAUUCUCAAGAAGGAGGAGAUUAAUGAACCCACCCCCCUUACAAUGAACAACACAUGGGCACUCUGAGGAUGAUCCCUUUUCUUCCAUUAAGAGUUCCAAGAUGUGGGUCUGAUUGACGGGGGUGUGAAAUGUAACAGCCAAUGGUAUACUUAAGCUAGGACUGACAGUCCCAAUAUUCAAGAGGAAAAACCCCUACAUAAACAAAUACAUGGGCGCAGACAUUUUGGACACCCAAAGUUGUGCGGAGGAGAAAAUGCUAGCUGGCGCGUGAUUGGUCAAUAAGAGAAAAGACUUGUUAUGUAUCUGACUAGUGAAAUAAAGUUGAUAAAAAUCUCAUAUCAAGACUUGGGAUUCUUUGAGAUAUAUAGGAGUUACAGGUAAAAAUUUGAAGGGAAGGGUGCCCUUUGGUUAGAGAUUUUCAUUUGGUGUCAAACGCACCUUGUUGUAAACAAAUGGAAAUUGAAAGUAAAAGUGCCGCGUGACGGUAUAUUUUUUCUGGCAUGUUUUGUUUUCCAAUAUCUCGAACUUUCACGGCAAAAAGGUCAUUUGCCCAAAAUUCAAUAUAUGUAUGAGUGACAGGGGCUCAAGUUUGUAUGGAAGUCUAUGGGAAAACAUUUGGUGGUGUUUGUCCUAUAGAAUAGGUAUUAUUUCAUGGAUAAACAUUGAUUACAGCCAAAAAAUCAAUCAGUUCCUAUUUUUUUGGCAAUGAGAUCAUAUUUUAGUUAGUUUUUACUAUUUGUUUAA
Saccostrea cuccullata (small rock oyster) is the source of this 1406-nucleotide long non-coding RNA. RefSeq lists it as uncharacterized. The transcript has 6 exons. The record is from RefSeq and is a predicted model, not a curated record. Lineage: Eukaryota; Metazoa; Mollusca; Bivalvia; Ostreida; Ostreidae.